GACCUUCAAAGGUUGCCUAGUCCAACCUCCCUGCAACAAGCAAGAACAUCUUAAAUUAGAUCAGCAGAGGGCGAGAAGGUGCAGUCACAGGCCAAACUGUGCCAGUCUCAGACCGCCUGCUGUCGGGAUGAGAGGAUGACUAGGAGUGGAACAUCCCGCCCCCACUGUUCUGGCCAGUGCACUCAUCACUGCAUUAUCUCAGGCCUUCUGAGCUCAGCAGUUGUGCUUCCUCAAAGCUCUGACCAAGAUGACCUCAAUAAAGGAGUUUCUUUUCUUGGGACAGAAGAGUUCUCUCUCACAACUUUUCCCUCUGAAUGCCACUUUAUCUCUUCUAAAUGAGGUACCCUUGGUCCUUCAGCAGCUAAUAAAUUCAGUCCUCACAGGCCAGCACAGCAAGCUAUGCACCUUCAAAGAGGAAGUCUGAAGCAACUCCAUCAUCACCUGGCAGGACAGUUAUUCUGUAUUUG
Molecule: long non-coding RNA, 467 nt
Organism: Empidonax traillii (willow flycatcher)
Lineage: Eukaryota; Metazoa; Chordata; Aves; Passeriformes; Tyrannidae
Exons: 3
Source: RefSeq, a predicted model, not a curated record